This 228-nucleotide ribosomal RNA is filed under the name uncultured bacterium. RNAcentral describes it as "partial 16S ribosomal RNA". It matches the Rfam family "Bacterial small subunit ribosomal RNA", at positions 524 to 751 of the family's 1533-position model. The record is from RNAcentral.
UACGUAGGGGGCGAGCGUUGUCCGGAAUUAUUGGGCGUAAAGCGCGUGUAGGCGGCUUGGUAAGUCCGCUGUGAAAACUCGGGGCUCAACCCCGAGCCUGCGGUGGAUACUGCCUCGCUUGAGUCCGGGAGGGGAGAGCGGAACUCCUAGUGUAGCGGUGAAAUGCGCAGAUAUUAGGAAGAACACCGGUGGCGAAGGCGGCUCUCUGGAACGGUACUGACGCUGAGA